This 335-nucleotide long non-coding RNA is filed under the name Solanum tuberosum (potato). RNAcentral's name for it is "long non-coding RNA (STUB_LNC003664)". The record is from RNAcentral. Lineage: Eukaryota; Viridiplantae; Streptophyta; Magnoliopsida; Solanales; Solanaceae.
UCCAAACCAGAAAGAAAGCUUAAGAGAGGGUUCCUAUGGAGUACUUGCAUGAUGAAGGUCAGUUUUUGACAAUUUCUACCAUUAAAGAUUGCCCUCGUGCCUAGAAACGUGAUCUCUACACGUGGUAAUCGUUUUCCCCUUCUAUUAGCUGCGUUUGGAGCAAGUUUUUGAAGAUAUAAAUUUGUAGUUAUUAGUGUUUCUUCAAGGUUUAACGUGGUAAUCGUUUUCCCCUUCUAUUAGCUGCGUUUGGAGCAAGUUUUUGAAGAUAUAAAUUUGUAGUUAUUGGUGUUUCUUCAAGGUUUACACUUGGUUAACUAAGGUAAUCAUCUCGGGAC